This 245-nucleotide ribosomal RNA is filed under the name uncultured bacterium. RNAcentral describes it as "partial 16S ribosomal RNA". It matches the Rfam family "Bacterial small subunit ribosomal RNA", at positions 15 to 252 of the family's 1533-position model. The record is from RNAcentral.
GAUCAUGGCUCAGGAUGAACGCUAGCUACAGGCUUAACACGUGCAAGUCGAGGGGCAGCAUCAUCAAAGCUUGCUUUGAUGGAUGGCGACCGGCGCACGGGUGAGUAACACGUAUCCAACCUGCCGACAACACUGGGAUAGCCUUUCGAAAGAAAGAUUAAUACCGGAUGGUAUAGUUUUCCCGCAUGGGGUGACUAUUAAAGAAUUUCGGUUGUCGAUGGGGAUGCGUUCCAUUAGGCAGUUGG